RNAcentral lists this ribosomal RNA (253 nucleotides) under uncultured bacterium. RNAcentral describes it as "partial 16S ribosomal RNA". It matches the Rfam family "Bacterial small subunit ribosomal RNA", at positions 524 to 776 of the family's 1533-position model. The record is from RNAcentral.
UACGAAGGGGGCUAGCGUUGCUCGGAAUCACUGGGCGUAAAGCGCACGUAGGCGGAUUGUUAAGUCAGGGGUGAAAUCCUGGAGCUCAACUCCAGAACUGCCUUUGAUACUGGCGAUCUUGAGUCCGGGAGAGGUGAGUGGAACUCCGAGUGUAGAGGUGAAAUUCGUAGAUAUUGGGAAGAACACCAGUGGCGAAGGCGGCUCACUGGCCCGGUACUGACGCUGAGGUGCGAAAGCGUGGGGAGCAAACAGG